Molecule: ribosomal RNA, 490 nt
Filed under: uncultured bacterium
Lineage: Bacteria
Description: partial 16S ribosomal RNA
Rfam family: Bacterial small subunit ribosomal RNA
Source: RNAcentral
AUUGAACGCUGGCGGCAGGCCUAACACAUGCAAGUCGAACGGUAACAGGAAGAAGCUUGCUUCUUUGCUGACGAGUGGCGGACGGGUGAGUAAUGUCUGGGAAACUGCCUGAUGGAGGGGGAUAACUACUGGAAACGGUAGCUAAUACCGCAUAACGUCGCAAGACCAAAGAGGGGGACCUUCGGGCUUCUUGCCAUCGGAUGUGCCCAGAUGGGAUUAGCUAGUAGGUGGGGUAACGGCUCACCUAGGCGACGAUCCCUAGCUGGUCUGAGAGGAUGACCAGCCACACUGGAACUGAGACACGGUCCAGACUCCUACGGGAGGCAGCAGUGGGGAAUAUUGCACAAAGGGCGCAAGCCUGAUGCAGCCAUGCCGCGUGUAUGAAGAAGGCCUUCGGGUUGUAAAGUACUUUCAGCGGGGAGGAAGGGAGUAAAGUUAAUACCUUUGCUCAUUGACGUUACCCGCAGAAGAAGCACCGGCUAACUCCGUG